GCCGAACCGAUGCUCGUGGUCGAGGAGAUCGC
RNAcentral lists this non-coding RNA (32 nucleotides) under Geobacter sulfurreducens KN400. The record is from RNAcentral. Lineage: Bacteria; Pseudomonadati; Thermodesulfobacteriota; Desulfuromonadia; Geobacterales; Geobacteraceae.